GUUUCACGUCCAAGCUGAGUGAUCUGUGUUGUAGCUGAGUAUUACGCGACCGAGGUAUGUUCUCCACUCCUUAGGUGAGUGCUCCCAGUCUGAAGUGAGUGUUUCACGUCCAAGCUGAGUGAUCUGUGUUGUAGCUGAGUAUUACGCGACCGAGGUAUGUUCUCCACUCCUUAGGUGAGUGCUCCCAGUCUGAAGUGAGUGUUUCACGUCCAAGCUGAGUGAUCUGUGUUGUAGCUGAGUAUUACGCGACCGAGGUAUGUUCUCCACUCCUUAGGUGAGUGCUCCCAGUCUGAAGUGAGUGUUUCACGUCCAAGCUGAGUGAUCUGUGUUGUAGCUGAGUAUUACGCGACCGAGGUAUGUUCUCCACUCCUUAGGUGAGUGCUCCCAGUCUGAAGUGAGUGUUUCACGUCCAAGCUGAGUGAUCUGUGUUGUAGCUGAGUAUUACGCGACCGAGGUAUGUUCUCCACUCCUUAGGUGAGUGCUCCCAGUCUGAAGUGAGUGUUUCACGUCCAAGCUGAGUGAUCUGUGUUGUAGCUGAGUAUUACGCGACCGAGGUAUGUUCUCCACUCCUUAGGUGAGUGCUCCCAGUCUGAAGUGAGUGUUUCACGUCCAAGCUGAGUGAUCUGUGUUGUAGCUGAGUAUUACGCGACCGAGGUAUGUUCUCCACUCCUUAGGUGAGUGCUCCCAGUCUGAAGUGAGUGUUUCACGUCCAAGCUGAGUGAUCUGUGUUGUAGCUGAGUAUUACGCGACCGAGGUAUGUUCUCCACUCCUUAGGUGAGUGCUCCCAGUCUGAAGUGAGUGUUUCACGUCCAAGCUGAGUGAUCUGUGUUGUAGCUGAGUAUUACGCGACCGAGGUAUGUUCUCCACUCCUUAGGUGAGUGCUCCCAGUCUGAAGUGAGUGUUUCACGUCCAAGCUGAGUGAUCUGUGUUGUAGCUGAGUAUUACGCGACCGAGGUAUGUUCUCCACUCCUUAGGUGAGUGCUCCCAGUCUGAAGUGAGUGUUUCACGUCCAAGCUGAGUGAUCUGUGUUGUAGCUGAGUAUUACGCGACCGAGGUAUGUUCUCCACUCCUUAGGUGAGUGCUCCCAGUCUGAAGUGAGUGUUUCACGUCCAAGCUGAGUGAUCUGUGUUGUAGCUGAGUAUUACGCGACCGAGGUAUGUUCUCCACUCCUUAGGUGAGUGCUCCCAGUCUGAAGUGAGUGUUUCACGUCCAAGCUGAGUGAUCUGUGUUGUAGCUGAGUAUUACGCGACCGAGGUAUGUUCUCCACUCCUUAGGUGAGUGCUCCCAGUCUGAAGUGAGUGUUUCACGUCCAAGCUGAGUGAUCUGUGUUGUAGCUGAGUAUUACGCGACCGAGGUAUGUUCUCCACUCCUUAGGUGAGUGCUCCCAGUCUGAAGUGAGUGUUUCACGUCCAAGCUGAGUGAUCUGUGUUGUAGCUGAGUAUUACGCGACCGAGGUAUGUUCUCCACUCCUUAGGUGAGUGCUCCCAGUCUGAAGUGAGUGUUUCACGUCCAAGCUGAGUGAUCUGUGUUGUAGCUGAGUAUUACGCGACCGAGGUAUGUUCUCCACUCCUUAGGUGAGUGCUCCCAGUCUGAAGUGAGUGUUUCACGUCCAAGCUGAGUGAUCUGUGUUGUAGCUGAGUAUUACGCGACCGAGGUAUGUUCUCCACUCCUUAGGUGAGUGCUCCCAGUCUGAAGUGAGUGUUUCACGUCCAAGCUGAGUGAUCUGUGUUGUAGCUGAGUAUUACGCGACCGAGGUAUGUUCUCCACUCCUUAGGUGAGUGCUCCCAGUCUGAAGUGAGUGUUUCACGUCCAAGCUGAGUGAUCUGUGUUGUAGCUGAGUAUUACGCGACCGAGGUAUGUUCUCCACUCCUUAGGUGAGUGCUCCCAGUCUGAAGUGAGUGUUUCACGUCCAAGCUGAGUGAUCUGUGUUGUAGCUGAGUAUUACGCGACCGAGGUAUGUUCUCCACUCCUUAGGUGAGUGCUCCCAGUCUGAAGUGAGUGUUUCACGUCCAAGCUGAGUGAUCUGUGUUGUAGCUGAGUAUUACGCGACCGAGGUAUGUUCUCCACUCCUUAGGUGAGUGCUCCCAGUCUGAAGUGAGUGUUUCACGUCCAAGCUGAGUGAUCUGUGUUGUAGCUGAGUAUUACGCGACCGAGGUAUGUUCUCCACUCCUUAGGUGAGUGCUCCCAGUCUGAAGUGAGUGUUUCACGUCCAAGCUGAGUGAUCUGUGUUGUAGCUGAGUAUUACGCGACCGAGGUAUGUUCUCCACUCCUUAGGUGAGUGCUCCCAGUCUGAAGUGAGUGUUUCACGUCCAAGCUGAGUGAUCUGUGUUGUAGCUGAGUAUUACGCGACCGAGGUAUGUUCUCCACUCCUUAGGUGAGUGCUCCCAGUCUGAAGUGAGUGUUUCACGUCCAAGCUGAGUGAUCUGUGUUGUAGCUGAGUAUUACGCGACCGAGGUAUGUUCUCCACUCCUUAGGUGAGUGCUCCCAGUCUGAAGUGAGUGUUUCACGUCCAAGCUGAGUGAUCUGUGUUGUAGCUGAGUAUUACGCGACCGAGGUAUGUUCUCCACUCCUUAGGUGAGUGCUCCCAGUCUGAAGUGAGUGUUUCACGUCCAAGCUGAGUGAU
Molecule: long non-coding RNA, 2623 nt
Organism: Leptidea sinapis
Lineage: Eukaryota; Metazoa; Arthropoda; Insecta; Lepidoptera; Pieridae
Exons: 5
Source: RefSeq, a predicted model, not a curated record